GGAGUCUGGGCCGUGUCUCAGUCCCAAUGUGGCCGUUCAACCUCUCAGUCCGGCUACUGAUCGUCGACUUGGUGAGCCGUUACCUCACCAACUAUCUAAUCAGACGCGAGCCCAUCUCUGAGUGAUAAAUCUUUGAUACAUACGUCAUGCGGCAUAUGUAUGUUAUAGGGUAUUACCAUCCGUUUCCAGAAGCUAUCCCCCUCUCAGAGGCAGGUUGCUCACGUGUUACUCACCCGUCCGCCACUAAGAACUUCCAGUAAACCAAAAGUUCUCCGUUCGACUUGCAUGUGUUAAGCGUGCCGCCAGCGUUCGUCCUGAGCCACGGAUCAAACUACU
This 336-nucleotide ribosomal RNA is filed under the name Ruminococcus flavefaciens. RNAcentral describes it as "partial 16S ribosomal RNA". The record is from RNAcentral. Lineage: Bacteria; Bacillati; Bacillota; Clostridia; Eubacteriales; Oscillospiraceae.